Non-coding RNA from Coturnix japonica (Japanese quail), 7161 nucleotides. The record is from RefSeq and is a predicted model, not a curated record. Lineage: Eukaryota; Metazoa; Chordata; Aves; Galliformes; Phasianidae.
UCAUCCUAGAGAGGAAGAACUGGAAGGUUACAGUGUGAUGACACUCCCAUGGCUAACAGCUAGACUCAUAAAGCACGCUUUCAUUAAAGCAUUUAACUUUUUACGAUGCAAACCAAUCCAUCACAGCCAGCCAUGGGGUCUUAAGUACAUUUUCAUUUCUACUAAAAAGGCACUGACCGUGACAGUAUACGGUCAACGUAUUCUCAAAAUGCUUCAUGAUCUUUAAGUGGCAGGGAUGUUUACAACAGCUCAUGAAAUCACUGACAGCUGUAAAUACCACACAAGUCUUCACUCUAUUCUGAUUACUGAAACAAUGAUUCUGUGUCUGAAAGACAUUUAGUUCCAAAAGGUUUUAAUUAGCCUGGACAGAACGGGCUUGAAGUUAUACAGUAGGAGGACAGUUAUAAGUACCCUUUCAGAUUUCACUUUCUUUUACAUUUUAUUCGUGUGACACAAGCUCUAUCGAAAAGAUCGGUGUUGUGGGUGACCAAAGGUUUCCAUUCAUUUACCUGUAGGUCCAUUGCCAACAUCUACAAACACCUGUUAAUAGCCACUUCUGGGGAAAAAAAGAAUCAUUCAUAACCAUUCUCUCAUCUGGUCUUCCCCAUCUUAUUCCUUAAAUAACAUUUCCCAAACCUCAUGUUUUCCACAGAAUAGAUUUUCUGUCUUUGAACCAGAGGAGGAGGAGAAAUAUAUCACAUUUAAAACAAACGUUAUGAACAGAGUACCCUUACACUCAUUGGUUGUAAUGAAAUUCAUUCAUAAACCAAUACUAGAUUGACCUAUAAACUGUAUAAGCAAAAAGAAAGGGGACAGAUGAAUGGAUACUGAGAUACUGACAAAUAGGAAAAAUGAAACAUAAUGAUCACAUAUCUCAGAAACCUAACAAAUGCUCAGAUUGCCUUCCAUAUUAUAAAGAAAGGAGGAGUUAAGAAUGAAUUUCAAGGAAGUUAAAACAUGGUCAUUCUGUAGAUGAUCGCAAGGGGCUCCUGUGAAGAAUAGGGGGACAAAAUAUGAAUGGAAAUGUCUGCAAAUGAUAAAAGAAAUAUGGGCUAUGGAACCAUAAGAACAAUCUACCUGCUUUCCAAACACAUGUUUGGUGUUGUGUGUGUGCUGGUAUGGGUUUUAGCUAAGAUAUUUCUUUGCAGAAGAAAUUCCAGAUGGAAAAGUUUUAUAUAGAAGUUGGUUGUCUUCCUUAAUUUGUUUUUCAACUUUUUUCCUUUGUUUUGUUUUAUUAAUUUGAAGCCAUGGUUGCUGUCAGGCUCACUGCUGGCCCUCCCGCAUGCCCAAUACAUCAUAGCACUCUUGGCUUGGUUAUGCAUUCCAGUGGAGCUGGGGAAUGGUGAGAGCUGGGUGGUGUGUGCAGGGAAACCAAGAGAAAUGUGGAUCCUUAUCGACCUUCCAGAUCUUCAGAAGUACUACAUGAUCUGAGGUUGGUGCUGGUGAUUGGUUUGGGAGCAACUCUGAAUCACUGCUCGCAGAGUUCCUGGCUGGAACCAAGGAAAGUUGGUGAAAUGUGUGUGUUUGGAACUGAUUAUUAAUGGAAGAACAGAUGGUAUCUAAUCCAGAGAGGGUAAGCAAGACUUGCCCCGAUCUGCCUUCCCUUCAAAACUGCCACUUUUAUUGAUUGUAACAGCAGAGGAGCUAACGUUUGGUCACAGAGAGUGAACUCUAUUUGCUCUUUCUUUUUUUCUUUGUUUUUUUUUCCCCCUGAUGUUCCAAGUUAAGGCCUUGCUGCCAGUGGGCGGAGGGGUGAAAUCUACACCACAUCUACUACGGCUAAGGAGAAGACCUGCAUUUCCAGGACUGUCAACUGAACCUCCUUCACACUACAGACACAAUUUUAUAAAUACAAAAAGAAACAAAACAAAACAAACUUGAACUGUGAUCUUUCUGGAAUGGAGAUAUAUCCAAAAGAACCGUGCUUUGGGUUGUACAGCGUUCCCAAGGAGUCAGAACAAAUAUCCAGACUUCAACAUGAGACCAAGCACAGUUGCUCAGUCCCUGUGAAGAUGAGAUGAUAUAGAACUGGAGAACAUAAGCAGAUGUGGAGACAUUUUGAUGCAUUUCUGAAAAAACAAACGACAUUUUGCUGCUAUAUUUUAGGAGCUCAUUCCAGCCUCCUUAUCAAAAAUAUGCUGCAAAAAACAAUAGUCACUUCAUUUUCAUUUCUCAAUCUAUCUGGAGAGCAGAAGGCACAGUCAUGUACUAGAUGAGGUAACGCCAGAGCCUAACAACUGUCAAGAAAGUCUUGUGGAGUUUAAAAUGCUGAAGAAUAAGGGAAGAAUCAUCAAGAAACUAUGAAUCUGAAGGAAAUCAAUAUGAUAGUCUAAGAUCUUGAAAUUGCAUAGCAUAGCUGUCAGAAUCACAGAAUUGUAGGGGCUGUAAGGGACCUCUGGAGAUAAUCUACAAGCCAACACAAUGCAUCUAACCCAAAAAAGACUAAAAGAUUCCACAGAAACAAGGAACUAUGGGGUACUGUAGCAGAAAUGCUAAGUCACAGCUUGAAGCAGUGAUUGAGCACCUGGUGGGAAGGCAGGGUCAACCCAGGGGAGCUCAGGUGCAUGCAAUACCCCUGAGUGAGAGAAGGGGUGGAUCCCAGCUCCACCCCUUCUCAGACCUCAUUUAAGGGUUGGCAGUGGAGGCAAGGGUAUCUCACUGGAGAUCCCUGCUUAGUGGAGGUCUUCUAAAGGUAAGUGGCUUUUCUUCAUUUGUUUCUGCAUCCAUAGCUGCUGCAUUUGGGUUUGCUCUCAUUUGCUGCAGCCUAGUUUUGUGUGCUUUGCUAUUAUUGCUAUAUGUUACAUUACAGGUACAAAAGGUGAAGUUAUCUAGUCUUGUCCCUCCUUCUUCUGUAGGGAAGAACCACUCUGUGAAAGAAGACUGCAGCACUGAAAGUUCAGGCUGUAUUUGGCUAAGACCUGGAGGUGGUUAUGGACUUUGACUCAGUGGCUGGGCUUGGAUGGGAGCCUUCUGGCUUACAAUCCUAUGCUCCAACCAUCUAAUCUCUCAGCCUGAAGGAAACUGCGGUGUCCCUGUGGACUCUUGAAUAGAUGCCCCAGGGGAACAGAAGAUUGAGCGUGCUGCCCUCUGGCCAUUGGCAUUAAUUUGCCAAUUCAAUAGAGAUGACAAAAGAUCAAGUGGGGAGUCCACAGCCAUCUCAGACUGUUAACUCCACAAGAGUACAAUGUAGCUGCAGUAAGGAGCUGAGUCAGUUUGGAUUCAACAUGUAAAGAGCAGAAGAGACUCAACUGGGUUUCAAAAGAUGCAAGCAGGUUGGAUCACAAUGAUAGAUAGCCUUCUCAACCGCUGGGAACUCCUUUGCGAGGGGCCAAAUGUACAGCUUCAUCAACCUAGAUGUCACUUGGCCAGAUAAUGCUUGGGCCUGGAACAGUAUGCAAUAGCAGUCCACCAUGCCAGCCAUCCCACCAGAGGCAUCUUGAUGUCAGCAUUGCUGAGACCCAGAAAUGAGGGUGACAGGAAUUCACUAAGCAGGGGAAUUCAGUGCUACAGAUGGUGAAACACCUUCUAAACCAGAAGAGGUUGCUCUGUGUUCCAUUUCUGAUGGUAAAGGUAGUGCCCCUGGUGGGAUAUUCUGUCUUUGCUGGGGUAUGCGUUAAUAUCCACUGUGCUUAGUAAGGAAUUUCCCCUCUCCUGCAGAGUCUGGCAGCAGCUAUUAGUUUUUUUUUGUCCCUCAGUCUUAGGUCCCACAGUUCCUGUUCAGAGGAGUUGGGCCAUUCUCUAACGCUCCUGGUCUGCAGCAACCCUGAAAGUCUUUUUCAGCUCCUAUAUAGGACCACUGGUAGGGUGUGGGUGUAUGUAUCCCUAUGCAGUGGCACAUCAGCUGGAGGGGACCUUGCUCCAGGGAAGCAAACACCAGUUUAACUGGGUUACUGGAGCCAAAACCCUGUAAAACUGAAUUUUCUCUGAGAACAGUCCCUGCAAUGAUGUGCGUGCUGUAUACAACUACCCCAAGCUCUUCCCAAGCCCCUAAAAGUAAUGCAACCCUUUGAGGAAUAACAAACGAAAUGUGUCAAACAAUGCAGGGGAUCUGGUGUGUCUAAUUUUUGUUCUGUGUCCUUCUCACUGCAGGAAAUGCUGGGUGAAAUGUUCUGGCCAUCCAAAGAAGUGGACCAUGCAGCAAGGAAUGGCAGCCCUUUGGUGAUCCCUGAGGCUUUGGUGCUGGGAUCAGCAUAAGGAAAGAUGCCAGAGGAAAAAGUAUGAGAUUACCUCUCAGCAAUACCCUUUGGCCUGAAUCACUGACAUCUUUGAUUUAAACAGUAAUUUAAAACACACAUGAUGAGAAGUCAGGGAAGGGAUCCAGGAAGGCCUGGGGUCCAGCCAACCUGGUGUGUCUGCCAAUUUGCUAUUCUGAAGGUAGGUUUGCUAGGAAGGGGCAGGAUCAUAUCUGAAACCUGUCACAGCCUCAGCUAAGCCACAAGGCCCUUUCUCAAAAAAGAUCAGUGUCUGUAUGGCUGUACCAACAUUGCUUUGUGGAUACCUACAGCACUGGUCUUCAGCUCAGCUGUACCACAGCAGUACAUAUAGGGGUUUGGGUGAAAAUUUUGACAUAUCCUUUGCAAAUGAUCAGAAAGCCCUGUCAACAUAAGAUGUAUGGAUACCCUUAAGGUGGGCUCAGUGAUGUAGCAUGAGGGUGAUGAAAGCAUGCAGGAGCAGAAAGGAAGAGAAGAAAUGUGGAUGAAAUAAAGAAAAAGAGGAGUUCAUCAGGACAUAUGUCAGACAGGUUCUUUCUACUCUCAUCUCUCCCAGACCAUUGGCUUUCCUGAAUGAUAUUACUGGCACCUGGCUCUUCUCAUGAGGAAGCGAGGGAGAGCAGGGAAAAUCCAUAUUAGCCAGUCUGAAUUGCUUGAUUUCAACAGGAGUGCUUGACUUGACUUUUCUCUAAAGUCUCCCCCAUUUGCAUGCUGCUGCAGAACUGAUUUGGGCCCAUUACCAGUAGGAUCCCAGAUUUAGAAAUAUCAGCACCUUAACCUUGAUGGGAAGAGAGUUUUGAUCCUGCUUUGAGUCCAGACUGUGGCUUUGACCCACUGUGUCUGGUGACCAGCUGCCCUUUUGGUUCAGGUACAAAAGGUUUCUCACACAAAUUACCUUCUUCCCUGCUGGGCAAUUUCAGUUUCCGUUCUGAUAUUCCUUGUGUCACUUUUCUCCUCUCUUUCUCUCAGGUCAGAUUCAGGUUGGAAACCUAUUGCUCAGAGGGAGCAGAUGGAAAAAGAGGUAUCUCUGACUUUGAAUCAGAUUCUGUAUGAUCAUGGCUCAGUGAUCAUAAAUCCUCCAGGGCCUGAAACCUAACAAGGGAAUAAAGGAGGAAGCACUGUCUCUCUCAGAUCAAAGUAAAGAGAAAAGUUGAGAUGUAAAGGAGACAAAAUAAGCUGCAGGGUAUGCGAAAAUCAGAGCUCCCAUACAGCUUGCUGAAGACUGCCAAAAUCAGGUUCUCCACAGCCAUCCCAUACCUACGCAAUACAGUGAUGGGAGCGUUUUUAGAUAAGAUCAGAUCCAGAGAGAACAUGCCUGGCUCUGUUUCUUCCAGUGGAACAAUAUGGAAACCCACUGCUGGGAAACAGUUUUUCCGAGCCAGAGAGGAGGCAGGGAAUUGUUCUGUGCAACCAUUCAGGAGUCUCCGCUCCCACGCAUUCUCCCGCUUGCUGACACCCUGCCAGGACCGCAAAGGAGGAAUUGAUUUACAUGCAGUAAGUCAACUAAAUAAAUAGAUAAAUAAAGCCCUUCCUACCUUGCCCAGUUAAGAAAAGGGAGGGACCAAGAUCAAAUUCAGUGGGAAGUCCUCUGCAGGUAUGCUGCUGCUGCCCAAAGCUGGGCACUGGGUGCUGACAGCACUGGUAAAUGUGAUAUUUAUUCCCUGGGAGGGAAUUCUGGACUGCUCUUUGUAAGGCUUGUCACUCACUGUCUUCUGUUCUUGCUACUGAACCCUGCUGCGUGAGAUCCUCGAGCUCAUUUGGUGGCUUCAGCAAGUGUGUUCCAAAUUGUUGUGGUUCUUAUGUAGAUGAUGUAGGUCCUAAGAGCCCAGAUUCACUACAGAAGGAUACCAAUUUGGCCCAUUAACCUGCUUCUUCCUCAGAUAUCUGCCCUGUAGACCACUGUGUUUAAUAGGUGCCAUCCUCUGCAACUCCCAUUGUUUCUUACUUCUGACCGCACUGACAAAGGAACUUCUCAUGGGAAGUGUGGGGAAUGUGAAGAAAUACCUCUGCGCUUUGAAGCUUGCUCCUUUGAACCAGACUGACCAUCCCUGUUUGGCAGUAGAGCAUCCCCAACUGGGCACCAUUCCUUCAUACUUUGUCAUGCCCUCAGCUGCCCACGCAGCUGCAGAAAUGCAGGGAAUAGGUGUGUAGGCCAUGAUGAGCUCUCAUGAAUUAUCUCCCAAUAAAAUGGAGAUCUGGUGUUUGAGAUAGAGCUACUGGGAGCAAAAGAGUGAGCUCAGUGCCUGAAACUGCAGUGUGACCCAAACACUUGGGUUUCAUGGGGGCAUUUAGCUCCCACUCUGUUUAAAUGCAAAUGAUCUUCUCUGCACACCACUAGUACCAGAACUGGGUCAUUGAAGGGAACACUUGUUUAACUUUGUUAUAAAAGCUGCUCAACUGAUGUUUUGAUGGAGAUAAGGUUCUGCUUCUCUUGCUACCAGACAACCAUAAGAGUAAAGAUGGGCUGGGGACAGAGUCAAGUUCAGGAUGUUUUUGUGUGCCAGGUAGUUCAGUCUAAGACAACAAUCAAUAGCAAAUUACAGCUGGAAUAAAGGUGACGGUAGCUUUACUUGGUUUAAUACCUGGCGUGGGGGCUACAUGAGGUUAGGCUUCCCUAACCUUCAGAGAAAGGAGGCAAAAAUGUUCUUUACUGUCUGUUCUUAUGCCAGCAUUUUCCUUCCUUCUCUCAGGCGUGCUGCUCUUUUAUCCCUGAAAAGGAUAGGAGCCAGCCCCCAGGAUACCUGCACCCAGAAAUUGCUGCAAGAGCAAAGGCCCAUUGCUCAAACUGACCGGACAGCUGACAUGGAGAAGUUAAAUCAGGAACAAGUGUUUCCCACCUGUGUGCAGCUGAACACGGUGCACUUUGGUUUCAGUUCUGAUGAAGCGCCAGUGAGCCUGACAGUGCAUCUGUUUUUCUAACUCUUUUGGUUAGUCUAAGGAGAGAUAUUCU